UUUGGUUAAUAUUUCACAAAAUUAAUACAAUUUGAUUUGAUUGGUUUUUUUAGUCUAAACCAAAUCGAACCGUGAACAUCCCUAAUUAAUUAGUUACU
Long non-coding RNA from Populus euphratica (Euphrates poplar), 98 nucleotides. RefSeq lists it as uncharacterized. The record is from RefSeq and is a predicted model, not a curated record. NCBI's taxonomy places the organism in Eukaryota, Viridiplantae, Streptophyta, Magnoliopsida, Malpighiales, Salicaceae. The transcript is spliced from 3 exons.